Molecule: ribosomal RNA, 292 nt
Filed under: uncultured bacterium
Lineage: Bacteria
Description: partial 16S ribosomal RNA
Rfam family: Bacterial small subunit ribosomal RNA
Source: RNAcentral
GUGCCAGCAGCCGCGGUAAGACGAAGGGGGCUAGCGUUGUUCGGAAUUACUGGGCGUAAAGCGCGUGUAGGCGGUUGCCAUAGUCAGGUGUGAAAGCCUUGAGCUCAACUCAAGAAAUGCACUUGAUACUGGGCGACUAGAGGACCGGAGAGGAUAGUGGAAUUCCCAGUGUAGUGGUGAAAUACGUAGAGAUUGGGAAGAACACCAGUGGCGAAGGCGGCUAUCUGGACGGUUUCUGACGCUAAGACGCGAAAGCGUGGGGAGCAAACAGGAUUAGAUACCCUAGUAGUCC